GACGAACGCUGGCGGCGUGCUUAACACAUGCAAGUCGAACGGAAAGGCUCCAGCUUGCUGGAGUACUCGAGUGGCGAACGGGUGAGUAACACGUGGGUGAUCUGCCCUGCACUUCGGGAUAAGCCUGGGAAACUGGGUCUAAUACCGGAUAGGACCGCACUUUGGUGUGUGUGGUGGAAAGGUUUUUCUGGUGUGGGAUGAGCUCGCGGCCUAUCAGUUUGUUGGUGGGGUAAUGGCCUACCAAGACGGCGACGGGUAGCCGGCCUGAGAGGGUGGACGGUCACAUUGGGACUGAGAUACGGCCCAGACUCCUACGGGAGGCAGCAGUGGGGAAUAUUGCACAAUGGGGGAAACCCUGAUGCAGCGACGCCGCGUGGGGGAGGAAGGCCUUCGGGUUGGAAACUCCUUUCGCUAGGGACGAAGCUUUUUGUGACGGUACCUGGAGAAGAAGCACCGGCUAACUACGUG
RNAcentral lists this ribosomal RNA (468 nucleotides) under uncultured bacterium. RNAcentral's name for it is "partial 16S ribosomal RNA". It matches the Rfam family "Bacterial small subunit ribosomal RNA", at positions 28 to 507 of the family's 1533-position model. The record is from RNAcentral.